RNAcentral lists this non-coding RNA (25 nucleotides) under Mus musculus (house mouse). Lineage: Eukaryota; Metazoa; Chordata; Mammalia; Rodentia; Muridae. The record is from RNAcentral.
UAGAUCCAUGCUCAGGGCUGGGCGA